CCUACGGGAGGCAGCAGUGGGGAAUAUUGCACAAUGGGGGAAACCCUGAUGCAGCGACGCCGCGUGAGCGAUGAAGUAUUUCGGUAUGUAAAGCUCUAUCAGCAGGGAAGAAAAUGACGGUAUCUGACUAAGAAGCCCCGGCUAACUACGUGCCAGCAGCCGCGGUAAUACGUAGGGGGCAAGCGUUAUCCGGAUUUACUGGGUGUAAAGGGAGCGUAGACGGGGGAGCAAGGCAGAGGUGAAAGCCCGGGGCUCAACCACUGUACUGCAUUUGGAACUGGGCUGCUAGAGUGUCGGAGAGGCAGGCGGAAUUCUUGGUGUAGCGGUGAAAUGCGUAGAUAUUAGGAGGAACACCAGUGGCGAAGGCGGCCUGCUGGACGAUGACUGACGUUGAGGCGCGAAAGCGUGGGGAGCAAACAGGAUUAGAUACCCGUGUAGUC
RNAcentral lists this ribosomal RNA (440 nucleotides) under uncultured bacterium. RNAcentral describes it as "partial 16S ribosomal RNA". It matches the Rfam family "Bacterial small subunit ribosomal RNA", at positions 338 to 795 of the family's 1533-position model. The record is from RNAcentral.